UACAGAGGGUGCAAGCGUUAAUCGGAAUUACUGGGCGUAAAGAGCACGUAGGUGGUUUGACAAGUUGGGUGUGAAAUCCCCGGGCUUAACCUGGGAACUGCAUUCAAAACUAUCAAACUAGAGUAGAGUAGAGGGAAGUGGAAUUUCCGGUGUAGCGGUGAAAUGCGUAGAUAUCAGGAGGAACACCAGCGGUGUAGACGGCUUUCUGGACCAUUGCUGACGCUGAGACACGAAAGCGUGGGUAGCAAACAGG
This 253-nucleotide ribosomal RNA is filed under the name uncultured prokaryote. RNAcentral's name for it is "partial 16S ribosomal RNA". It matches the Rfam family "Bacterial small subunit ribosomal RNA", at positions 524 to 776 of the family's 1533-position model. The record is from RNAcentral.